CGGGGUGUAGCUCAGCCUGGCUAGAGCGCUGCGUUUGGGACGCAGAAGCCGCAGGUUCAAAUCCUGUCACCCCGA
RNAcentral lists this transfer RNA (75 nucleotides) under bacterium. RNAcentral describes it as "tRNA-Pro". It matches the Rfam family "tRNA". From Rfam's summary of the family: Transfer RNA (tRNA) molecules are approximately 80 nucleotides in length. Their secondary structure includes four short double-helical elements and three loops (D, anti-codon, and T loops). The record is from RNAcentral. RNAcentral also lists the same sequence under 1 other name.